CGAACCAGUAAUUUGACAACCAGUUCACUUAUUUGCUGCUACAGCAUCUGGAAAACUAUUGCUCAUUUUAUAAACUCUAGCAGCUUAUAACAUUAAUCAGAAGACACUCAACAUUACAGAUCCGAUGCUUGUAUUUGAAAACUAAUAUUCAAAAAGGCACAUUGGCCUCUUGAUGGGAAAUUGCACAGUCUGCACACUCCUCAGUUGCCACGAUGGUGAAGGGUUGAUAGGAAGAAGGUGCCUGGUGUGAUGACCUUCAUUAAUCAAGGGACUGAUUUCAAGAGCCACUAGAUAACCCCUGUAAACUGGACUACCAUCUCCACAAAUCAAAUCCUUCUUAUGUAUUACCAUUGAACUCUAAUUACUACUUUAGUUGACAUCUGGUCAACAUGGCACCCAGCUGCAAUGUUCGUGGAGGAUGUGACUCAGAUUUAGCUGCAUUCUUUGGUUCGUAGGGAUGGUAUUGGUGGCAGUGCGGGGAGUCAGGGGAUUGGGAUGAGGAGUUAGAGGUCAGAGAAGAAAGGAGCCAGAGCUCAAGUCGGAGAGCUUCACAGUCCAGGGCCAGUGAUCCCCCGUGAAUAGAUCUCAGGCCAACAGUCGCCAACACCAAAGCCUGAUGAUCCCCGUGGUCAUUGACUGAGGUCAGUGGGUCCCAUGGAUGAGGGCUGGUGCCACCCACUGCCCCAGGUUGGCAAGUUUCCUUAGGUCAGUGAGACUCGGAAUCAGAGAUCAUCUGAGUAGAAGGCACAAAGCCCAGUGAGUUCAGGGGUCAGAGAUCUGUAUGAGUGUAGAGUCCUGUGGUCAAGACUGAAGCUCAAGGACUGAAGUCGGCAAGGCUGGAAGUUGAGGUACAAUGGUUGAAGCCCCCAGAUCGCCUCAUCUGGAAGUCAGAAGCUUGAUGUCUGAGAGUCCCAACUGGAUUCUGGACAUGGGAGACCUGGAGGGAGUGAGUGAAUGAGCGCACAUUAGUUAGGGUGGGAAAAGGCCCGUUUUACUAUUGUUUUGUUCUUGUUUCAUGUAGUUCUGCUGAACGUGGUGGGCAGGCGAUGAUAAUAUUUGUUGGUUGCCCCAAGCACAUCCAUAAGUUGUGUUGGUUAACGCAAAUGACAAAUUUCACUAUGUUCAGUGCCCAUUGAUAAAUAAAUGAACCUAAAUCUGAACCUUGUGGUCCCUCAAGCCUUGACUUUCUAGAAUCAAAGUUAGAAAACAGGAGGUUAUUCAGUUUUUUGCAUUUUUUACUUUAUUUCAUUUUUUAUCUUGAGAUAAAUCACACAGGCACUUCUGGGCCAACGAGUCCCUAAGACACAGGAUCAGAAUUAAGCUAUUUUGCCUAAAGAGCCUGCUCCAUCAUUCAGUCAUGGCAGAUCCUUUUUUCUCCUCCUCAACGCCAUUCCCUGGCCUUCUCCCUGUAACCGUUGAUAUGUCCAAUCAAGAACCUAUCAAUCUCUGCCUUAAAUACAACCAACAACCUGGCCUCCACAGCAGCUUGCAGUAACAAAUUCCACAAAUUCACCAUCCUCUGGUUAAAGAAAUUUCUCCACAUCUGUUUUAAAUGGACACCCCUCUAUCCUGAGGCUGUGCCCUCUUGUCCAUGGGAAACAUCCUUUCCAUAUCUACUCUCUCUUGGCCUUUCAACUUUCCAGCAAGUAUAGACCCAGAGCCAUCAAAUGUUCCUUGUAUGAUAACCUUCUCAUUCCUGGAAUCAUCCCUGUGAACCACCUCUGGACUCUCUUCAAUGCCAGCACAUCUUUUCUUAGAUGAGGAGCCCAACACUCUUCACAAUACUCAAGGUGAAGCCUCACCAGUGCCUUAUAAAGCCUCAGCAUCACAUUCCUGCUCUUGUAUUCUAGACCUCUUGCAAUGAAUGCUAACAUUGCAGUUGCCUUCCUCACCAGCAACCCAACCUUUAGGAUGUUCUGCACAAGGACCCCCAAGUCCCUUUGCAUCUCGGAUUUUUGGAUUUUCUCCCCAUUUAGAAAAAAGUCCACACAUUUAUUUCCACUGCCAUAGUGCAUGACCAAGCAUUUUCUAACAUUGUAUUUCAUUUGCCACUUUCUUACCCAUUCUCCUAAUCUGUUUAAGUCCUUCUGCAACCUACUUGUUUCGUCAACACUAUCUGCCCCUCCACCAAUCUUCAUAUCAUCAACAAACUUGGCAACAAAGAUAUCUAUAUAAUCUAAAUCAUUGCUAUACAGCAUAAAAAGCAGUCCUAACACAAUCCCUGCAGAACACCACUAGUCACUGGCAGCUGACCAGACAAGUAUCCUUUUAUUCCCACUUGCUGCCUCCUACCAAUCAGCCAAUACUCUAACCAUGCCAGUAGCUUUCCUGUAGUACCAUGGGCUCUUAGCAUGGUAAGCAGCCUCAUGUGGCACCUUGUCAGAGGUCUACUGAAAGUUCAAAUAUACAACAUCUACAGUAUCCCCGUUAUCUAUCCUACUUGUAAUCUCAAAGAGUUCCAACAGGUUUUUCAGGUAAGAUUUUUCCUUAAGAAAACCAUGCUGACAUUAUCCUAUCUUGUCCUGUGCUACCAAGUACUCAAUAACCUAAUCCUUAACAAUUGAUUCUAACAUCUUCCCAACCAUUGAGGUCAGGCUAACUGGUCUAUAAUUUCCUUUCUGCUGCCUUCCUCCUUUCUUAAACAGUGGAAUGACAUUUGCAAUUUUCCAGUCCUCUGGCAUCAUGCCAGACUUUGGAGUCACGCCGCCCAGCAACGCAAAUAUUUAACUCUUGCCCAAUUACAGGACAAUUUACAAUGACCAAUUAACCUAAUAACUGGGACAUGUUUGGACUGUGGGAGGAAACCAAAGCACCCAGAGGAAAUCAGUGCAGUUCACACAGAGAAUGUACCAACAACUUACAGAUGGAUCUGGAAUUGAACUCCAAACCCUGGCACCCUAAGCUGUAAUAGUGUUGCACUAACCAUCACGCUACUACGGAGGCUGUUUGUCAGUUGUCAGUUGAAAAAGACUAAACCAGCUUUAACCUAUCUUCCAACAUUUGUAGCCUUGGACAUCGAAUUCUUUUCUGUUCACUUACCUUGUAUUUCUCUCCUCGAGAGCUAGAACCUACAAAAGUGGAACAUUGAAACAGGUUCACGGGUUUGGUGAGUGAGUAAGAAAAUACUAACUACAAAAACGCAUAUUAAUUAUUUAUUUUAAAUGAGUAAGAAAAAAAUUCGAUCAAACAUUUAAGUUGCCCCAAGUUACAAAAACUACAAAACUAAAAAUUGAACAAACAGGUACUUAUUUAAAAAUUAUGUGAGAGCACGGUUCCAGGGACAAAGGGGAAGAGAGAACUUUUUGCACGUUACUCUUUAUACCCCUGAAGUGUUUGAAACUGAACAGUAGGUGCCAUGGCACACAAGCCAGCCAAUGAAAAGAGCAGCUGCAAUAUUUAAACUGACUAAUCAUGAUUGACACAACAGAGGCAGCUUUAGACAACAAAUAAGCCAUGCCCUCCCCCCACCCCUCCCAGGACAAAAAGACAGGAUAUUCUUGUGUAUUCCUGAUUUCUUUUAUCCACAGCCACGUAGUAACUGAAAUGCUCCCACGCACGUGGCCUUUGUUGCUUCACAGUUGGUAGUUUCUUGUAUAUAAUGUUAAUGUAAAAUUGAAAUUAUGCUAAUUUAAUUUUGACAUCUAUGCUAAUAAAGGUGAGCAAUACCAUAAGGUAAAGGAGCAGAAUUAGUCCAUUUGGCCCAUCGAGUCUGCUCCACCAUUUCAUCAUAGCUGAUUCAUUUUUCCGCUCAGCCCCAGUCUCAUGCCUUCUUCCCAUAUCCCUUCAUGCCUUGACCAAUCAAGAAUCUAUCAAGUUCUCCCUUAAAUAUACAGACAUGACUUCCACAGCUGCCUGUGUCAACAAAUUCCACAGUUUCACCACGCUCUGGCUAAAGAAAUUCUUCCUCAUCUCUGUUCUAAAAGGAUGCUCCUCUAUUCUGAGGCUGUGUCCUCUGGUCUUAGACCAGGCAUGGGCAAACUACGGCCCGGGGGGCCAUAUGCGGCCCAUUAAGCUUUUUAAUUCGGCCCGCAGAACUUGAUGAAAUUAUAUUAAUAAACCUUGUUAACGUUUUUUCCCUGCAAUUCUGGCGUUUUCCCAAUAGAUGACGCACUCUAUAUACAUUGACCUUUGUUGAAGUGCAGCGUAUUACUCCACAUUUGCGCUUUACUCUUUGUUCGGCUCGACCUAUUUGUGUGAACAGGCGUUCAGCAUCAUGAACAUCAACAAAGCCAGCCACAGAUCCAAGUUAACUGACCAACACCUCAGAUCCAUCCUGAGAAUCGCCACAACAAAACUAAAUCCAGACUUUGAUGCACUGGCUAAAAAGGGAGACCAACAACACUGUUCCCACUGAAAAUAAAAAUAAGUUUCUUCGUUGCGUUAUGUAAAAAAUGCAUUUGAAAAUAUUUUUUUCAAUAAGCCUUACAUGUUACAUGUCAGUUCUGUUAAGUGAUGGACAUGAGUAGUGCGCAGGUGCACGUACGUUCUCAAAAUAAAAAAUGCACUCCAGAUCAAAUAACGCGCUCCGCAUACUGGCGCGCUGUCACUGUUCUGUUCUUGUGCUGGUCGUUGUUGAGUUUUGGCACAGGGGACAAUUGAAUAAGAAGGAGCAGGACAACUAGACCUGCAUCUCCUACCGUUUUUGAAAUAAAGACAGUCAGGAGGAGAGUGAUGAUGAUAAUAUCUUGAAGGAUAACAGAAUUUUCAGUGCUUUAAAAUAAUAACUGUUACUAUUAAAAAAGCUGUAUUUUAUUCAUUUAAUUUUCAGUGUUUUAAAAGUCAUUUCAAUAAAUAGCUAAAUACCAUGGGACUUCAAAGACAGAUAUUUUGUUGUAAUGCAUUUGUUCAUUUUCAAUUGAAAUUAAAGCAUGUUUUCUACAUAUCCCAUGAUAUUUUAUUUUCUCAUAUGAGGUGUAUUACCAAAACACUCCGUCUAUCUGCUCCUGGUCCGGCCCCCCUGUCAAAUUUUAGAACCCUUUGUGGCCCACAAGUCAAAAAGUUUGCCCACCCCUGUCUUAGACUCUCCCACCAUAGGAAACACCCUGUAAUUAAUUAUGUGUUAAUGAAUAUAAUCCAUAAAUUUUCUAAACAAUAAACAUUCCACAACCUUUGCUUUGAAACAUUUUAGAGCGUCAACACAUUUACAUUGUCAGUGUUUCAAGUUACAACACUGUUACAAAUUGUAACAAUAUACACAGAAUGGAAGGUAGUAGCUAAUUAAUAAACUACUAACCCAUUGAACACUGAUGCUAAGUUUACAAAAUGUUAAAGAUUUCUUUUGUUGUACCAUAUUUCAUUAUACCCUCCAAUUAAUAAAUUUAAAAAUGUGAUUUUUCAAUUUUCAUUCUAAAUAUUCACAGUAUGCAUUUUACAAAAAAACCAUUAAAAGUACCACACAUUUUUUAAUCAGUAUAAAAUCUUUCAGCUUAGUGCAAUGGUUGGUUCACUCAGGUGCGAAAAAUGAUAAAUAAAUCUUAAACUGAACCACUCUACCAAUGUGUUUAUAUACCCACAAUCCUCUCCUAUAACCUAGCGAAUUUCCUAAAUAAAUAUUUUGCUUUCAUUUCCAAGGACUUUAACAUUUAGCUAAACACGCUUUCUGGAAGGGGAAGGGCAUAACAUUCCCUAUGUGUACAUCAGGAAUGGGCAACACUUGGGAAAUUUACAGUGGUUUGAAGUUUUGCAUUACUGCUAAUUUCAGACUUUGAAACCUCAAUAUGGAAGUACCUAUGGACUCAGUUUCAAGGACUCUACAACUGAUAUUCCUCAGAUCUAUCAAACUCUCUCAAAGCAACACAUGCAAAAGGCUGGAGGAACUCAACAGGUCAGGCAUAAUCUAUGGAAAAGAGUAAUGUUACGUACCCCGUAACUGGGUCACUUACCAGGAAAGAUAGAGAGGUCCGUUGAAGUCUGAUGGUACUAUUUUUAACAGUAUUUAUUGAUAAAAAUACACAAAAUAAUAUCAAUGCAAACAUAUAGUAUACAUUGUCAAUACUAAAUCUAAAAGCGUGGGUAUAAUAAUAAUAAUCAAUAAGAAAUAGCUCUAUCAUUGUCUAGGGGAUAAUGUAUUGUCCGAUGGAAAUAUAAAAGUCACUUUUAGUUCGUUCAAGCUGCAGCGUUUUGAUUUGAGAGAAAGACAGUUUAAAACUUGCCCAGUCCUUUUAUGAUGUCAAUCCUUUGAGAGUUGUUGGGAGUUGAUUUCCCUGUUGUUAGCUAAAAACUGUUCUUCCGUGGUGAAGGCAUACCAAUUCUGGGGCAAAUGGAACCGGACGCACGUGGCCUCCCCACCAGCUUUCGCUAUUACGGGAUCGCUAGCGUUUCUUCUGGUGCAUCUGAGGGGCUGUUCCUACAGACCCUCUUUUAUCCUGACUCACAGGGUCGCAGAUGUCAAUCAGGUAGGGAUGAUGCAAUCCCUCCACCAACCAGCCCACUUUGCCUGAGGGCUUCCACAAAGCACAGUAUUUUAACACACAAUUCAGUCUCCACCCGCAGCUUUACAUCGCCGGAGGGGUCAAGACAUUCCAAACAUCUCUCUCUCAUUUCCUGGGUCUCCUGAACUGACUCAAAAGUGAUCUUGUGAUUCUCACAAAGGAGGGGGCUAUCCCGCACCCUUCGGUCCCUCAGAGCUGUGGUACAUUCAUAACAGUAAACAGUUGACGUUUCAGGCCGAGACCCUUCUUCAGGACUGAUAGGGAAGGGGGAAGAUGCCAGAAUAAAAAGCUGGGGAGAGGGGAAGGCUAGCUGGAAGGUGGUUGGUGAAGCACGGCCUGGAGAAGAAAAAGUCUGAUAGGAGAGGAGAGUGGAUGGUAGGAGAAAGGGAAGGAGGAAGGAACCUGGGGAAACCUAUCAACUUUCAGCUAGCCUCUUUCCCCACCUUCCACUUUUUUUAUUCUGGCAUCUACCCCCUUCCUUAUGAGUACUGAAGAAGGCUCUCGGCCUGAAACAUCAACCGUUUACUCUUUUCCAUAGAUGCUGGCUGACCUGCUGAGGUCCUCCAGCAUUUUGUGUGUGUUGCUUUGGAUUUCUAGCACCUGCAGAUUUUCUCAGUAUUGUGCUUAUUUAGUUAUUGUAUUUACACAAUUUGUCUUUGUACAUUGUUUUUAUAUUUUCAGUCGUUGUAGUUUUCACUUAUUUAGAGAUACAGCAUGGAAUUGGCCCUUUGAGCCACACUGCCCAGCAACCCCCAACAACCCCGAUUUAACCAGAACCUAAGCGUGACCAAUUAACCAACCCGCUACACCUUUGGACUGUGGGAGGAAGCUGGAGGACACGGAGAAAACCAACACAUUCCACGAGGAGAACAUACAAACUCCUUACAGAGGACAUCCAGAUUAAACCCUGAACUCCAAUGCCCCAAGCUGUAAUAGUGUUGGGCUAACCAUGAUUCUAUUAUGUUUCUUUGCUCCACUCUGAAUGCCUGCAAGAAAGUGAAUCUCAGGGUAGUAUACGGUGUAAAGUAUAAAUUUACUUUGAAUCUCUUAUCUUCUCCAGCAAUGCAGUCUCUGUUCUACUGAUCAUACAGCAAGGUAAUAAGCCCUUCUGGCCCAAUUACAUCCAUGUGAUCAUUCAACCUAUUAACCUGUCCAUCUCUGGACUGUGGGAGGAAAGUGGAGUACCCAGAUGAAACUGACACAGGCACAAGAAGAAUGUAACUGGUUGUUAGUCCAUCCUGGUUUAUUACUUUACUUUAUUGUCACCAAACAAUUGAUACUAGAGUGUACAAUCAUCAGUGAUAUUUAUUUCUGUGCUUCACACUCCCUGAAGUACAUAUCAAAGUAAAUAUAAUAAAAAAAUUUAAACAUGGGUUUGUGCAGUCUGCAAAUCCUUCUGAAGUCAACAACCAAUUCCUUCGUCUUGCUGACAUUGAGGGAUAGGUUAUUGUCUUUACACCAUGCCACCAGGUUCUUAAUUUCCUCUCUGUACUCAGACUCAUCAUUACCCAAGAUACAGCCUACAAUUGUGGUGUCAUCAGCAGACUUAUGUAUUGAGUUUGAUGGAAACUUGGCUACACAAUCAUGGGUGUACAGUGAGUACAGCAGGGGGCUGAGUACACAGCCUUGUGGGGCACCCUUGCUCAGAGUGAUUGUAGAGAAGAGCUUGUCCCCUAUCUUUACAGCCCGGGUCCUGUCUGUGAGGAAGUUGAAGAUCAAGCUGCAGAUCUGAGUGCUAAGACCCAGGUUCUGGAGCUUAGGAAUCAGUUUAUUUGGAAUGAUGGUAUUAAAGGCAGACCUGUAGUUUUUGUGUACAGCUCAUAGAUUCUGUUGUGUUUCUUUAUACUAAAUGUGAAUGCUCACAAGAAAAUUAAUCUCAGGGUAGUAUAAAUUUACUUUGAAUUUUGAACCAUUAUUUAGGCAGAUUGUUUAACAUAUUCUUUUGAUUUGACAUUUCUUAAAAUAUAUGGGUGGAGUGGGAUGUUUAAUUUUACAAGGGAGUGCUUUCUCUAAUAAGAAAACUUUAAUAUAUUAUUAUGGCAUCUUUAACAUUUAGUUUGCUUAAAACACUGAAUUCGAAAACCUAGUCCAAAAGGUUAUUUUAUUUCUGAUUGUUAUACGUUGCUUAUGUAUUUAAAAAAUCCUUAUUCCUUAUUCAUUUCCAGCUUCUUUGAGAUGGACAGCCUGUUAAUUCCCCUGUUUAAUUAAAAAAUAUCAAAUUAUUCAACAUUAUUUUCUUACAUUCUUUUACAAUAUCACUGUUACCUGUUUUCAAGAGGUAAAUGCUUCUCCUGAUCAAUUUCUUUUCUUUCAUUGUAAAGGCUGAUUUAUACUUGUGCAUACAGGUUAUGCUGCAGCCUACGCCGUAGCCCUGAUUUUCACUUCUGUGUUGCUCUACGCCGUAGCGAGCAUAUGUUGGUGUGCACCAAAACACUAGUUGGCGGUGGAAUUUCUAUGCCACUGCAUUCAGUUUCUUUCUGAGAGACAUGGAUGAGGAAAUGCAUUUCAAACAUUUUCACAUGUCGGCAGGUAGAUUUGGCAACUUGGUUCAUCUAUUUUUGCAUCGGUGUACAGACACGGUGGAGAAAAAGCAACCGGAAAUGUGUAGGAGGAAAUGUGAUGAAACCAAGUGGACCAAUCACAGUUGUUGUGGUCUGCAUCACCACAACACGCGAGUUAGUUUUUCAGGGAGGUGUACGUCACCCUACGCCGUAGGGUACGUGGUACCUACGGUGUAGAUGUGGCACACAAGUAUAAAUCAGCCUUUAGUUGUACUAAGUUUGAGGUCCCUUGUGGGCUCCUCUCCCACUUGCAGUAAAUAAGAUGGACUGAAUUAAUAAAUUUGUGAACAUUCUUGGCUGCUUAAGAUUGAGGGAAACUGUUCCUAUGAGAAGUGGGCACAGAUUUCAAAGUUACUUUGAACAUGUGAAUAGUUCAAUGACAAGUGGGCAAAGAUUUACAAUUCUGGGCAAAAUAUAAAAAGGUGGAUACAACAAAAUUAGUCUAGUUCAACAGAUUUUGUAUCAUACUGAUGCAGAAACUCCUUGUUGUACAGGUUGAAACUUUCCACCAGCUGGCACUGUGUGAAAAGCAAAUUGUUAUGAACGAAAUUCAGUGGUUCAUAUCAGUUAGCAUAGGCAGUUUAUUAGCAUUGCAAGGUUAUAUCUUUACAAUAAAAUAUUCUUCCCCCAAAGUCCUUUGCUGUUAUUACCAUUUUUAUAUAAAUAAAGCAAUCCAUUUUACUUAUGAGAACCAAUAUAUUUUACUUUUAACAUUUCAUACACAACAGAUAAAAAUUUCAAGACAUGCAGAACCCAUAAGAGGAACCUUCAAAUAUAUUUAAACUAGUAAGACUGUCAGUUCAGAAAAACAGCACACAAGGAAGUUUUAGUAACUUUUCAGUUUCAAUUAUUAAAUUACAUUUUAUAGAAUAAAGUUUUUAAAAAAGGCCACAUUGUUUCUAAGAUUGACAAGCAACUAAUUUUAAUAGAGUAAUAUGAAUCAAUUAUCUGCCAAUAGAAUUAUACACUCCAUACAUUAGAAGUAUUCACAAAACACCUUGAAAAUUAAUCUGAUUCAAAACUUGACAGAAUGUACUGUUCAGGAAGUUUUUGCUACAUGUCUGUCUCCACCAAGUGUUAAACAGAUUAUAAAUGAAUAGUAGGUAGCAUCAUAUUGUCAGUCCACACACCUCACAACUAGAGAAACACUUCCUAAAGGUCAACUCAUCAACGAAUUAUUGUUCUGGCAGAUUUUUAAAAUUAGUAAUUAACACAUUACUGCAUUUUAAACAAAACUAGUUUAAAAAUCUUUUCACAAAAAGUAAUUAUAGACAUUGUGAAACAGAGUUUUUCAAUCUCAACACGUCUAAUUUUUGUAGCAAUAAUCAAUGGCAACUGCGGGAUUAUCAAUAUGUUUAUAUCAAGGAAAUCAGAAUUCUAACACUUAAUUUUGCACAAAGUAAAACAUAUUGUAAAAAAUAAAUUAAAAAGCUAUUCAAACUGACAUGGUCUCAAAGCGAAGCAAUGUGUUAAGGUUUUGAAAAUAUUGAUAAUGUUUCUUAUCAUUGUAAGUAAAUGGUAAACUUUCAAGUGUUAAUAGAAAUUUUCAGUUAGCUUUUCUAUACAUUAUGGGUUUUCUAUCAAUACCCAAGUCAGACUAACUAAAAUACUGCAGGAAUGUCUGAUGCAUUAAAAAUACCUUAUCUAUAUAUUUUUGCAGAAACUACUUUUCAGAAUAUGUCAUCCAUUAAAGGAAUGACAAAAGUUAUUACAGCAGACAAGAAAUUACACUAACACAUAAAAUGUGUCACCUUGGAUUCAAAAAUCUACUAACAAAAUACUGCAAUCUCCCAUUAAUAGGAAAAGCAUACAAGCUGAAACAUUCUUUAGUGCAUUCUUAAACACAAGAGAUUCUGCAGAUGCUGGAAAUCCAGAGCAACACAAACUAAUUUUUCUUCCACAAUUCCCAAUAGAUUUCAGAAGAUUAGCUCACAGGCUUCAAUUUUAACAAGUAGGUUUGUAAAAUUAAUAUACAUUUACUUUUCUACAAAUAAAGGUUUUCAUGAGAAGCAAGGAAUGCUUUUAAAAUGUGUAUUCUCUUCAUUAUUUGAUAUCAACAUAAUUUUCAUUAUAUAUAGUUGAAAAUCACACCAAAACAAAAUGUUACUUAAGUUUGUGUUCCUACAGCACAUCCUAAAUUAAACUACAUCCUCCAGAAAAAUCUCUAUCUUCAAAAAAAAAACUAAAAAUCCUGAAUUCUCCAUUAAUAGUUCUAUUUCCAGAUUUAAAAUCUGUCCCAAAAUCUGUCGGAAUGUGGACUAUUUUUAAGUACAUCCCUUUUCCAUGGAAUUAUUAAUAAUCCAUAGGCCUUUUCUCAAGCCCUUACCCCAUUCCCUAUCAUCUCCAAACUGCUCAGCAUCUCUGCUUAUAAGAUUAAACACAAAAUAAUGGGACAACUCUGGCAAGCAGCUUUGAAUGGCCAGACCAAGCAAAAGGAAAUGGCCUAAUUCUGCCCCUCUUUCUUAUGAACUUACACAGACACUGGAUAAACCAAUUCCUAUUAUAGUACAAAGCUCAUAUAGCAAUUAGCAAACUAUACUUCAUGUUAUUUCCACAUUGGUUCUAUCAAACACCCAAGCAAAUUCAUUAACACAAAAUUAUCUUAAUUAAUUUACAAUAAUUAACAUCUAAAAAGGAAAUUGGGAUAACUUAAACUUGUAAAUGCUGGUUACUGAAUUCUCAAUUUAUUUAUUUAAUGGGAUAUGGUGCAAAAUAGGCCCUUCCAGCCGUGCUACCCAGCAAUCCCCAUAUUUAAUCCUAAUUUAAUCAAGGAGAAUUUAUAAUGACCAAAUAACCUACUAACCUUUGGACUGUGGGAUGAAACACACGUGGCCAUGGGGAGGAUGUACAAACUCCUCAUGGCGGGAAUGCAUCCUUGGUGUAUAACACUUACAAUUUUCUUAUCAUAUACUAAGCUCAAAUUCUGUUCAAAAUACCUCAAAUUCUGUUUGAAUGCAUUACUAAAUAUAAAGCUCAUAACCAUCUCUUCAAAUUUACACUAGUGUAUCAAAGGAGUAAAAAUAUACUUCUGUUCACCAAGUAUUUAUAUCCAAUAUCUUGAAAACUUCUCAUGAUAGAAUGUAAAUAUUUCAGUUUUAAACCUUAUCCCUUCACAAAAGAAAAAUUUGGAAAAAUAUCCAAAAAGCAAGAGCUGCUGUAAUUUUCCAAAUGAUUCACUGACAUUAGAAUGUUAGCAACCUCAUGAUCAAUAGAAAGAAAUUUUGUUAUUUUGUACCAUGAAGCUUUACCAUGAAAUUGUUUAAUAGCAGCCAUUUUCUGACCACUGCACUGUUUCCAGUGUUCAUUUGACAGCACAAUUUCAGUUAGAAACACCAUUAUAAGGCACUUCUAUCCAUUAGACUUUGGCAGCUAUAACAUAAUGACAGUAUAGGUAAGUGCACUUAGGAAAAUAGGCACAUCCAAAACAUACACAGGGUUGCUGCUGAGCAUUUUGACGGAAACCUAAUUGUUUUCUACCUACAAGGAAUGCAAAAUGCACAAUAUAAUGUAACCCAUUCCUUUGCAAUGUCAGAAAGUAGUGUCAUAAAAAUAUAAUACAGCAUAGAUGCAAUGCUGCUUUCAUAUUAGUCUAUUUAUUCAUUUCCAGAGGCUGCCUGACCUGCUGAGUUUCUCCUGCAUUUUGUGCAUGUUAUUCAUGUUAGUCUAUUCGUUUCCUAUCCCCACCUCUAUAUAUCAUUGUAAAAAGGACUAACUAGCACGGACAAUCUUCCUCUGUUAAAAGCAUCUGUUCAGAUGUAUGCACUGCUGUCAACAUCAGGAAGACAAUUUGCCCUUGCAGCUUGCUGUUAAGUGUCUAAAGCUGCACUUAUUUCAAGGUCAAUGAGAGACAAGACUGAAAUAAAAUGGAAGUGUUCACAAAAUUUUAACCUAUUUCUGAAAAUUAGUAAGAUUAUUUGUCAUUUGAAAUUUAAAGCAUUUUUAUAGUUACAUGCAGAAAAUUACAUUCUCUUCCAAUUAUGCAGUUAUUUGGAAUAUCAAAAGUAUGUAAUUGCCUUAUGGCAAUUUAGUUUUAACAUUUAUCAAAUUACACUUCAGAAGUUAAUAUUAGAAAAUUGAACAAUAUUCUGAACACGUUUUAUUUCCAGAAAAGAAUAAUUGCACACUUGGAGGUUUGGAAUAUGUGUCCCAUUUGGAUUAGAUAUUUUGAAAAAUCUUUGUUUCUAUUACUUUGAAUUUCAGUAGACUAUUUAGAAUAGAUUUACAGAAUUACAUCAUUAAAUGGGGCAAUGCCUAGAGCAGGGGUCUCAACCUUUUUUUAUGCCAUGGACCCCUACCAUUAACCAAAGGGUCUGUGGAUUCUAAGUUGGAAACCCCUGCUCUAGAGUAAUGCAUCAAUAUUUUUACAUAUGCAUGCAUUCAACAUAUGGCAUCUAGUCAUCUAUUACUUAGGCUAUUAUUUUAAAAGGAGAUCUAGUUAACCAAGUCUUUUUUUU
Long non-coding RNA from Hypanus sabinus (Atlantic stingray), 13446 nucleotides. RefSeq lists it as uncharacterized. The transcript has 2 exons. NCBI's taxonomy places the organism in Eukaryota, Metazoa, Chordata, Chondrichthyes, Myliobatiformes, Dasyatidae. The record is from RefSeq and is a predicted model, not a curated record.